CCUACGGGAGGCAGCAGUGGGGAAUUUUGGACAAUGGGCGAAAGCCUGAUCCAGCCAUGCCGCGUGCGGGAAGAAGGCCUUCGGGUUGUAAACCGCUUUUGUCAGGGAAGAAACGGUCUGGGUUAAUACCCUGGGCUAAUGACGGUACCUGAAGAAUAAGCACCGGCUAACUACGUGCCAGCAGCCGCGGUAAUACGUAGGGUGCAAGCGUUAAUCGGAAUUACUGGGCGUAAAGCGUGCGCAGGCGGUCCUAUAAGACAGAUGUGAAAUCCCUGGGCUCAACCUAGGAACUGCAUUUGUGACUGUAGGGCUUGAGUACGGUAGAGGGGGAUGGAAUUCCGCGUGUAGCAGUGAAAUGCGUAGAUAUGCGGAGGAACACCGAUGGCGAAGGCAAUCCCCUGGACCUGUACUGACGCUCAUGCACGAAAGCGUGGGGAGCAAACAGGAUUAGAUACCCUGGUAGUCCACGCCCUAAACGAUGUCAACUGGUUGUUGGGAAGGUUCCUUCUCAGUAACGAAGCUAACGCGUGAAGUUGACCGCCUGGGGAGGUACGGCCGCGAGGUAGUAAACGUUAAAGGUAAAGUUAAACGGUUACGUGAGAGUGCCGACGGACGACGACGAGGGAGGAGG
Molecule: ribosomal RNA, 631 nt
Filed under: uncultured bacterium
Lineage: Bacteria
Description: bacterial SSU rRNA
Rfam family: Bacterial small subunit ribosomal RNA (bases 1-542)
Source: RNAcentral